UACGUAGGGUGCGAGCGUUGUCCGGAAUUAUUGGGCGUAAAGAGCUCGUAGGCGGUCUGUCGCGUCGAAUGUGAAAAACCCGGGGGCUCAACCCCGGGCCUGCAUUCGAUACGGGCAGACUAGAGUUUCGGUAGGGGGAGUCUGGAAUUCCUGGUGUAGCGGUGAAAAUGCGCAGAUAUCAGGAGGAACACCGGUGGCGAAGGCGGGACUCUGGGGCCGAUACUGACGUGAGGAGCGAAAAGCGUGGGGGAGCAAACAGG
This 260-nucleotide ribosomal RNA is filed under the name uncultured bacterium. Its description in RNAcentral is "partial 16S ribosomal RNA". It matches the Rfam family "Bacterial small subunit ribosomal RNA", at positions 524 to 776 of the family's 1533-position model. The record is from RNAcentral.